GACGAACGCUGGCGGCGUGCUUAACACAUGCAAGUCGAACGGAAAGGCCCUGCUUUUGUGGGGUGCUCGAGUGGCGAACGGGUGAGUAACACGUGAGUAACCUGCCCUUGACUUUGGGAUAACUUCAGGAAACUGGGGCUAAUACCGGAUAGGAGCUCCUGCUGCAUGGUGGGGGGUGGAAAGUUUCGGCGGUGUGGGAGGGACGCGCGGCUUAUUAGCUUGUUGGUGGGGUAGCGGCUCACCAAGGCUUUGACGGGUAGCCGGCCUGAGAGGGUGACCGGCCACAAGGGGACUGAGACACGGCCCGUACGCCUACGGGAGGCAGAAGUGGGGAAUAUUGGACAAUGGACCAAGAGUCUGAUCCAGCAAUUCUGUGUGCACGAUGAAGUUUUUCGGAAUGUAAAGUGCUUUCAGUUGGGAAGAAAAAAAUGACGGUACCAACAGAAGAAGUGACGGCUAAAUACGUG
RNAcentral lists this ribosomal RNA (467 nucleotides) under uncultured bacterium. Its description in RNAcentral is "partial 16S ribosomal RNA". It matches the Rfam family "Bacterial small subunit ribosomal RNA", at positions 28 to 507 of the family's 1533-position model. The record is from RNAcentral.